Cornus florida is the source of this 861-nucleotide long non-coding RNA. RefSeq lists it as uncharacterized. The record is from RefSeq and is a predicted model, not a curated record. The transcript is spliced from 2 exons. Lineage: Eukaryota; Viridiplantae; Streptophyta; Magnoliopsida; Cornales; Cornaceae.
AUGAUACAUGUGGUCCACAAAAUUACUAUCACAAUUCAUAAAAUUUUAAUAUUCAAAUGAAAUAGUGCUUUUAAAGAAAAUACGGAGUAAUUAAGUUGAUGUAAAUUUUUUUUUUUUUUUUUUAAACCAGUACAGAUUUUACGGGUAAUCAAACAUGCCCGGCCCGAUCCAUAUGCAAGCUUAUAUAUAUAUAUGUAGCAUACCAGUUGUACGUUCCCCAUUGCUAGGGUUUUUGUCCAAAGCUCUCUCGAUCAAUUUUUAUUUUCUCGAGAUAGGGUUUAGGGUUUUCUAUCAGAGCUGCUAGAUCUUCCACAGAUUAGGGUUUCGUUUUACGCCCAAGAUCGAUGUUGAGACUAUUUCGUGUUCAUGAGAGGGAAUAUGGAAGAGGGUGUAGCAAUAGAAAUCAGGAUACAGCUUAUGAAAAAAAGAGGAUACAGACAGGGAAAUGGAGAGGGCAAUUUUCGCCUGAGUGAAGAUGGGAAUAUGGUCGAGGGAGAGAGACAUAGAUGGAAGGUGGGAAAUGAAAUAGGCACCACAGGUAGAGUGGCAGAGCAACCAUUCAAGGAGCCACCUUAUGAGUAGGGAUCUUAAGGAUCGCAAUGGCAGGGAGAACUGCAAGAGGAAUGGUUGCAAAAGUGCUAGCCAUAGAAGGCAUGGGAAUGGGCCAGAGGAUGGGGUUACUCGUCAACAACCAAAAAAGAAAAGAAAUAUGACACUGGCACAGACCUCCGAGAUCCAGACACCUCAUUUUUGUUAUUUACUUGUUUGCUGCAACUCCAAAUUUGUAAGAAAUAUUAGUAAAUGUGUUACAUUAAAUUCAGUCUUGUUUGCAAAUAAGAAACAAUGCAUAAUUUGUUUUCA